GUAAAAGCACAAUCAGCUUGAUGUUGAGGAGAAGGGCUGUGCAGCAGAGAGGCUGUUUAGUUGCUUGAUUCUACUGCAGUGGAAGAACAUUGUUCAUCUGCUGUCUGUUUGGCUUCAACAACUCCAAAGACAUGUUGCUUUACCUCUUUUUGCUUUUAUCUGACUUCAUAGCCAUGGGCUCCAUGAACAGCAUCAAGCCAGAAAGUACAGAAGAAGUUGUUGAAGAGGGAAGAACCAUCAGCCUGACCUGUAAAUAUGAGGGUUCUAUCAACAAUAUCCAGUGGUACCAACAGAACCACAGAUCCAGACCAGAGUUCCUGCUCUCCAUCACAGAGGAAGGAUCAACUCAUCCAACUCUUUCUGAUUUCUCAGCUCACAUUGACAAAACAGAGAAACGUGUAGAUCUGAAGAUCAUCUCAGCUAAAGUGACAGACUCUGCUGUGUACUACUGUGCUCUGAGGCCCACAGUGACAGGAAACAGCACAACUCUGUACAAAAACCUUUGGAGCAAAGACAACAGAAUACUCCACAACAUCCACUAGAGGGAGUCACACACUGUUCAACCAAGCCAGAGGAAACCAAUCAGUUAGAGAAGCUCACAAGAGAAGAGAAAAUCCAGAUCUAAGAGGAGACGGAGAGAUUCAGGGAGGAGCUGAGCUGUUACUGAACUAUAGAAGAGAGAGGAACUUCCAUAUUCAGCAGAGUUCAAUACACAGACCAUAAACUUUCCCUUUA
This is a non-coding RNA of Toxotes jaculatrix (banded archerfish), 735 nucleotides long. Lineage: Eukaryota; Metazoa; Chordata; Actinopteri; Toxotidae. The record is from the annotation of a RefSeq genome assembly.